Molecule: ribosomal RNA, 570 nt
Filed under: Klebsiella pneumoniae
Lineage: Bacteria; Pseudomonadati; Pseudomonadota; Gammaproteobacteria; Enterobacterales; Enterobacteriaceae
Description: bacterial SSU rRNA
Rfam family: Bacterial small subunit ribosomal RNA
Source: RNAcentral
UUCGCUAGUGGGUGGCGGCACUGCACACAAAGGCGACGCUGCUGAGCCGACCGGAGAGUGUGAUCGGCCACAUUGGGAAGCGGACACGAGCCGAACUCAUCCGCGAGGCAGCAGAAGAGAAUCUGGGGCUAUGGACGAAAGUCUGACCGAGCAACGCCGCGUGAGUGAAGAAGGUUUUCGGAUCGUAAAACUCUGUUGUUAGAGAAGAACAAGGAUGAGAGUAACUGUUCAUCCCUUGACGGUAUCUAACCAGAAAGCCACGGCUAACUACGUGCCAUCAGCCGCGGUAAUACGUAGGUGUCCAGCGUUGUCCGGAUUUAUUGGGCGUAAAGCGAGCGCAGGCGGUUUCGUAAGGAUGAUGUGAAAGCCCCCGGCUCAACCGGGGAGGGUCAUUGGAAACGGGGAGACUUGAGUGCAGAAGAGGAGAGUGGAAUUCCAGGUGUAGCGGUGAAAUGCGUAGAUAUAUGGAGGAACACCAGUGGCGAAGGAGGCUCUCUGGUCUGUAACUGACGCUGAGGCUCGAAAGCGUGGGGAGCAAACAGGAUUAGAUGCGCUGGUAGUCCACGCCGU